RNAcentral lists this long non-coding RNA (439 nucleotides) under Bos taurus (domestic cattle). Its description in RNAcentral is "long non-coding RNA NONBTAT005934". Lineage: Eukaryota; Metazoa; Chordata; Mammalia; Artiodactyla; Bovidae. The record is from RNAcentral.
AUGUUGCAUAACCACUCUCUCCAUCUGUAUGUUAAACCUAAACCAGAGCAGGAGAUGAGAAUUGUGCACUAGCAUGAGCAAAGUCAUUGCGUUUGAAUCACAGUCUCAGCAGUCCUCCUCCUUGAACCUUUAAAGUAUAUUUUUAAAACUGCUUACAUAAUAAGAAUGGCAGAGUUUUAUUGUGACCCUUGGCAGAGUUUUAUUAUGACCCCAAGGAAGUUAGUUAAGCUUUUUAUUUCCACACAGGCAUUUAAAGUUUUUGUUUCAAACUGAACAAACAGAAUGAACAGUCCGUACUGUUUGCUUGUGUAUAAAAAAUGAUUGAACAGAUCCCAGGCAUCUCAGACAGGGCAGGUAGAAGAGUCCCAGGGCUCGUGUUAGGAACACUAACUCAAGUGCCUAGAAAACCUACUGUUGCCACACCAUACAGGGAUUUGUG